Non-coding RNA from Tenacibaculum dicentrarchi, 33 nucleotides. Lineage: Bacteria; Pseudomonadati; Bacteroidota; Flavobacteriia; Flavobacteriales; Flavobacteriaceae. The record is from Rfam.
GAUUAUCGAAGGAGUACGCCUUAAUUCAUAAUC